Molecule: ribosomal RNA, 253 nt
Filed under: uncultured bacterium
Lineage: Bacteria
Description: partial 16S ribosomal RNA
Rfam family: Bacterial small subunit ribosomal RNA
Source: RNAcentral
UACGUAGGGGGCAAGCGUUGUCCGGAUUUAUUGGGCGUAAAGAGCGUGUAGGCGGCCGUACAGGUCAGCUGUGAAAACUCGAGGCUCAACCUCGAGACGUCGGUUGAAACCGUACGGCUAGAGUCCGGAAGAGGAGAGUGGAAUUCCCAGUGUAGCGGUGAAAUGCGCAGAUAUCGGGAAGAACACCCGUGGCGAAGGCGGCUCUCUGGGACGGUACUGACGCUGAGACGCGAAAGCGUGGGGAGCGAACAGG